UCCCUGUACAACUAGGCGUUCUAUUGAC
This 28-nucleotide small RNA is filed under the name Bombyx mori (domestic silkworm). RNAcentral's name for it is "ovarian small RNA-27413". Lineage: Eukaryota; Metazoa; Arthropoda; Insecta; Lepidoptera; Bombycidae. The record is from RNAcentral.